This is a long non-coding RNA of Halichondria panicea, 945 nucleotides long. RefSeq lists it as uncharacterized. The record is from RefSeq and is a predicted model, not a curated record. The transcript has 2 exons. Lineage: Eukaryota; Metazoa; Porifera; Demospongiae; Suberitida; Halichondriidae.
UAGCCUCGAUUCCAAGCCGCUGAGAAAGGCGGCCUGGUAUACACUGUUUACGCAUGCGCCAGAAUUACCAAGAAUCUUGGUAAUCGUAAAUUGCAGUAUAUUUAUCAGUAUUCUUAUUCCGCAUUAGUUUGUAAAACAUUGAUAUCCGUUUCAUUUAUAAUGAUGUCAUUGAAAAAAGAAAUCUAGUCCAAGUUGUGUAAUGGCUGCUACCUUCUCUUCUGCUCUUGUGUACGCGUUAUCCUGUGUUGGAAUACCAGGUCUAGUCUUGAAAGACAAGCAGCUGGAGGCGUUGAAGUGUCUGUACGCUGGUGUUUAUGUGGGUACCGUACCGACCGGCUAUGGCAAGUCGCAGAGCAAGUCCAUCUGCUUUCCAGACACUCCCUUUCUUGAUUGAUGUGAAGCUUGACAAGACCAGUGCACCUCUCUCUGAAAGAAGUGUUGUGAUGGUGAUUUCUCCUCUUGUUUCUCUGAGUGAAGCCAUCUUCAAAGUGUUGGUGUGUCUGUUCGACGUUCAGUGCCAUUUCUCUCUGGAAGGAAGUAUUGUUGUGACAUUUGCCGAAAAUUGGUCACAGAGUAAGUACGUGGUAUCUGAUCCGAGAACUGUGUGGCCUGAAUGUGUUUACAAUCCGAGGGACUUGUGUGUAUCCGAUCCGAGGGACUUGUUGCUUGAGUGUGUAUCCGGACUUGUUGCUUGAGUGUGUAUUAAUGGAUAGUGCUUUCAAUGGUUUAACUAAUUUCUUAUGAGAUUAACUUGUCGCCUGAGUGUGUAUCCGAUCCGAGCCUCAAGUUAAUGAAUAAAUCUACAGAGCUGAUGUUUUACUUAGCUGUCUCUGUCUACAGUAUAUGCAGAGAGGUAGCCUCUUCUUUUUCUUUUUUCUGUUCUUUAUCACAAUAAGAUAAAAUACUGUUUUAACGUUCAAUGAGAUAAAUACGGUAAAUAAUAAA